GUAGAGCACUCCUACGGGAGGCAGCAGUGGGGAAUAUUGCACAAUGGGCGCAAGCCUGAUGCAGCCAUGCCGCGUGUAUGAAGAAGGCCUUCGGGUUGUAAAGUACUUUCAGCAGUGAGGAAGGUGGGUAUGUUAAUAGCAUAUUCAUUUGACGUUAGCUGCAGAAGAAGCACCGGCUAACUCCGUGCCAGCAGCCGCGGUAAUACGGAGGGUGCGAGCGUUAAUCGGAAUUACUGGGCGUAAAGCGCAUGCAGGUGGUUUGUUAAGUCAGAUGUGAAAGCCCCGGGGCUCAACCUCGGAAUUGCAUUUGAAACUGGCAAACUAGAGUACUGUAGAGGGGGGUAGAAUUUCAGGUGUAGCGGUGAAAUGCGUAGAGAUCUGAAGGAAUACCGGUGGCGAAGGCGGCCCCCUCGGACAGAUACUGACACUCAGAUGCGAAAGCGUGGGGAGCAAACAGGAUUAGAUACCCUGGUAG
This 475-nucleotide ribosomal RNA is filed under the name uncultured bacterium. Its description in RNAcentral is "bacterial SSU rRNA". It matches the Rfam family "Bacterial small subunit ribosomal RNA", at positions 328 to 793 of the family's 1533-position model. The record is from RNAcentral.